This 200-nucleotide ribosomal RNA is filed under the name uncultured Lactobacillus sp. Its description in RNAcentral is "partial 16S ribosomal RNA". It matches the Rfam family "Bacterial small subunit ribosomal RNA", at positions 165 to 355 of the family's 1533-position model. Lineage: Bacteria; Bacillati; Bacillota; Bacilli; Lactobacillales; Lactobacillaceae. The record is from RNAcentral.
CGUACCGGAAUAAACAAUAGAUGAUGCCUAUCAACUGUUUAAAAGAUGGUUCUGCUAUCACUCUUGGAUGGACCUGCGGUGCAUUAGCUAGUUGGUAGGGUAACGGCCUACCAAGGCGAUGAUGCAUAGCCGAGUUGAGAGACUGAUCGGCCACAUUUGGGACUGAGACACGGCCCAAACUCCUACGGGAGGCAGCAGCC